CGUAGCUGAGGGCCACAGCUCUGCUGCCGUUUGUCUCCCGUCCAGGGAGCCCUGCGCCAGGCUUUGCACUUCUUGCACAUGCACUUCUCUCACCGAAGGUUUUGCUCUCUCGGUUUUGUUCCCUGACGUGCAAACAUAGGUGGAAGGAUCAGAAUUUUGGGUGGCAGAACGGAGAAGCUGGCUGCACGCAAAGUCCUGUCAGAAUGUUUUGACACAAGUGAAAAGACUUUUACCAGUAAAUAUCGGUUUAUUCCUGAAACCAGAAGCCCUAAACAUACCUUUGUUUAUAAGGUCAGUUGUCAUUUUGUCUCUCUCGUUCCCCACUCCCCCCAGUACAAACUGGCAGGUGAUUGAAAGGUACCAAGCUUUCUUUCUAGUUUUCCUGCUCUGCAACUCUGGAAAUGGAGCCCGCAGGACCUAGAGCCUUCUCUUGGUAACGUAGACUGAAGUUUACAAAUUAUUAUUUAACACUUUAAAGUCUGCUUUUAAGGACAGCAGUGUUCCCGUCUGCCUGGUACGGGGCUGGUAGGAAUUCCUGCAGGUGCAUGACGUAGUUCACCUUCCCAGAGCCUGUGGGCAGGUGUCUCAAAAAGCAUCUUCAGGUUUGGGCUUGGAAAGUAAUUUCUCCAAAAGUAGAUGCUGCAAAAUGGCAUUUUGGUUUUACAGUGAAGAGGAUGGGGGGAGCGAAGGGUGGGAACUGAGUAUGGAUAUGUCUUUUUCUGAUUUUUUUUUUUUAAUUUUUCUCUAUAUUCUGCUAGAAAGCAAGGCUUCUGUUUUGGAAAAGAAGCAUAAAGUGGGGAGGAGGGAGAGAAUUUGAGCAUUGCCCAUCCUAAAAUAGUUUUAAACACUUUCUCCGAGGCUGAUGGAAAAGGCAGGUGAAAGGUCUGAUCCUUAAAAGGACAUUGCUAGGUAUUUGGGACUCCAAAAGCAGCUGGUGCUUCUUAAUGACUGCAAUUGAUUUAGGUAAUUUUCAAAAUUUGGUCUAUACUAAGACAAAUCAGCUUGGGAGAGUUGAAGACUCCCUUUUUUUCCUAAGAGUUUGCAACCCAAAUGCUGCAGUACUGUGCUAAUACUUGUGAAACAGCAAAGCUGGUGAGGAAUAGAAAAUGAGUUGACUACAUGGUCCCAGCCAAUUUUUUUUUCUUUUGAAAGAACAAAAUGAAAAAAUCAUAAUCAAAACCACUCCAAGCCAAAAAAUGCAACCUCCAUAGAGCAAGCAGAACAGCAUCUCAAGUGAUUUGAUUUGGUUUUGUCAUGCAUGGUUGGCAAGAGCAUUUCUGGUAUAGCUGCAACCUAACUAUGUCCCUUUAAGACUAACUUCAUCUCAAUGAAACAAAAGACAAGGUUUUGCACUAUAGAGCAGAUCAAAGCUCCUGCAGCCUUAGUUGGAGUCCAUAAUGACGGGAGUCUUCCAGCUGUACACUCUGAGCUGAAAACUACCUUUCCUCCCCUUUUGCAGCCUGUGUGGUUCUGAUUGCUGGCAGUUCUCUAAUACAGCUUUAAUCUGAGCAGUUGAGGCUGGUCCCACCUUACCUUCAGACGUCUUGCGGAGGACUCCUGUUACCAGUUUGGUACUCAAAAGCUACACCCCACCAUGAGAAGUCAAUUAUUUUUUAAAAGGCAGUGAUAGAUUACUGUCUCUAGUUCUAAUGGAAAAAUUAUAUUGCAAUGCAACUUUAUAAUAAAUUGUUCAUAUAUUCAUAAUUCCGUGGCAAUCCCAAAUCGGAGGACG
Molecule: long non-coding RNA, 1732 nt
Filed under: Gallus gallus (chicken)
Lineage: Eukaryota; Metazoa; Chordata; Aves; Galliformes; Phasianidae
Description: long non-coding RNA NONGGAT002277
Source: RNAcentral